UAUAAAUUUAUAGGCACAAAGGCCCGUUUAUAACAUUCUAUAACAUACUUGGGGUAUAUGAAAAACAUAAACCUGAAAAUGUAAGGAAAGAAAAAGAUCAAUCCUCAAACCUGAAUAUGCCAGGCAUUCAGAAAGAUAUUCAGAUUUACAAAAGGUGCACAGGUGGAGAUAUAUAAAGAUGACAAGUGUGCACAUGCUCCCGAGAGAACCAGCAACAACGUAUCAGGUUUAUUUCAAUAAUGAUCCUUCCGCAGGUUCACCUACGGAAA
RNAcentral lists this unclassified non-coding RNA (269 nucleotides) under uncultured fungus. RNAcentral's name for it is "sequence contains ITS1". Lineage: Eukaryota; Fungi. The record is from RNAcentral.